GGCAGCGUGGCUUAGUGGACAGAGCACGGGCUUGAGAGUCAGAAAGAUCUGGAUUCUAAUCCCGGCUUUGCCA
RNAcentral lists this transfer RNA (73 nucleotides) under Ornithorhynchus anatinus (platypus). It matches the Rfam family "tRNA". From Rfam's summary of the family: Transfer RNA (tRNA) molecules are approximately 80 nucleotides in length. Lineage: Eukaryota; Metazoa; Chordata; Mammalia; Monotremata; Ornithorhynchidae. The record is from Rfam by way of RNAcentral.